This 465-nucleotide ribosomal RNA is filed under the name uncultured bacterium. Its description in RNAcentral is "partial 16S ribosomal RNA". It matches the Rfam family "Bacterial small subunit ribosomal RNA", at positions 28 to 507 of the family's 1533-position model. The record is from RNAcentral.
GGCGAACGCUGGCGGCGUGCUUAACACAUGCAAGUCGAACGGAAAGGCCCUGCUUGCAGGGUACUCGAGUGGCGAACGGGUGGGUAACACGUGGGUGAUCUGCCCUGCACUUCGGGAUAAGCCUGGGAAACUGGGUCUAAUACCGGAUAGGAGCCAUUUUUAGUGUGAUGGUUGGAAAGUUUUUUCGGUGUAGGAUGAGCUCGCAGCCUAUCAGCUUGUUGGUGGGGUAAUGGCCUACCAAGGCGGCGACGGGUAGCCGGCCUGAGAGGGUGGACGGCCACAUUGGGACUGAGAUACGGCCCAGACUCCUACGGGAGGCAGCAGUGGGGAAUAUUGCACAAUGGGCGCAAGCCUGAUGCAGCGACGCCGCGUGGGGGAUGACGGCCUUCGGGUUGUAAACUCCUUUCGCUAGGGACGAAGCUUUUUGUGACGGUACCUAGAUAAGAAGCACCGGCUAACUACGUG